This is a long non-coding RNA of Oncorhynchus masou masou (cherry salmon), 697 nucleotides long. RefSeq lists it as uncharacterized. The transcript has 3 exons. The record is from RefSeq and is a predicted model, not a curated record. NCBI's taxonomy places the organism in Eukaryota, Metazoa, Chordata, Actinopteri, Salmoniformes, Salmonidae.
GUCCUGCGGACUUUAAGGAAAGUUGAGUUGAGCGACCAAAAUAAGCGAGACAAUGGUGUGAUGAGGAGGGGGCGGGGUAAUGCAAAACGCUACAAAAAAACGUUUACUCCAAACGGAAAAUGCAAACGACAGUUUCUACAGGACAAAUGCAGAGGCUGAAUGUGUCUCACAGGAGGAAGCAUCCGAGCGAACGAAACAGCGCCCCCGUGUAGGCGAUCUAUCUGAUGCUGUCUGGUCCAAACGAAACAGAUGUUUGAUCAACAUGAAAGAGAGGAGGAUGGCAUUGGCGUUUCUCUACAAGUAGGGUGAGUCUACAUGUUUUUCUACUUGCACAACAUACACACACAAAUCAAAACCAUGGACAGCCACAUCAUAUUUAGCUUACCUGGAUUGGAGUAAAUAGUUUUUGGUAUCUUUCAGUUGUCACUAUAUUAGAAUAAGAAGAGGUGAUUUGAUGAUGUUGAAAUGGUGGAGGCAGCUCCUGUUUUCUUUGCGACUUUGUUAAUUAUUUUUAUUUUUUUCAUUUUAUAUUAUAUUUAACUAGGCAAGUCAGUUAAGAACAAAUUCUUAUUGACGGCCUACCCUGCCUAACCCAGACCACGCUGGGCCUAUUGUGCGCUGCCCUAUGGGACUUUGUUGUGAUACAGCCUGGAAUCAAACCAGGGUCUGUAGUGACGCCUCUAGCACUGAGAUCCAG